Molecule: transfer RNA, 72 nt
Filed under: Camelus bactrianus (Bactrian camel)
Lineage: Eukaryota; Metazoa; Chordata; Mammalia; Artiodactyla; Camelidae
Also listed under: 3 other names
Rfam family: tRNA
About the family: Transfer RNA (tRNA) molecules are approximately 80 nucleotides in length. Their secondary structure includes four short double-helical elements and three loops (D, anti-codon, and T loops).
Source: Rfam by way of RNAcentral
GCAGGUAUAGCUCAGUGGUAGAGCAUAUGCCUAGCAUGCACAAGGUCCUGAGUUCAAUCACCAAUACUUCCA